GAGAGGAGAGAGGGGAAGAUGGGAGAGGAGAGGGGGAGGGGAGAGUGCGGGAGAGAGAGACAGAGUUGGGAGGGAGAGAGGAGGGGGGGAGAGAGGAGAGAGGGGGAGAUGGGAGAGGAGAGGGCGAGAGGGGGGAGGGGAGAGUGUGAGAGAGAGAGACAGAGUUGGGAGGGAGAGAGGAGGGGGAGAGAGAGGAGAGAGGGGGAGAUGGGAGAGGAGAGGGCGAGAGGGGGGAGGGGAGAGUGUGGGAGAGAGAGACAGAGUUGGGAGGGAGAGAGGAGGGGGAGAGAGGAGAGAGGGGAAAUGAACCUUUAUUUAACUAGGCAAGUCAGUUAAGAACAAAUUCUUUGGUGAUGUGGACACCAAGGAACAUGAAACUCUCGACCCGCUCCACUACAUCCCCGUCGAUGUUCAUGGGGGCCUGUUCGGUCCUCCUUUAAGUCCUGUAGUCCACGAUCAUCUCCUUUGUCUCGCUCACGUUGAGGGAGAGGACAGGCCAGGUCUCUGACCUCCUCCCUAUAGGGCCCGUCUCGUCGUUGUCGGUGAUCGGGCCUACUACUACCACUGUUGUGCCGUCAGCAAACUUAAUGAUGGCCGUUGCAGUUGUGAGUGAACUGGAAGUACAGGAAAGGGUCUGAGCACGUACCCCUUGAUAACUGACUGUAGACUACUCAUUCUCCUUUAUGAUGGCCGUUGGAGCAGUAUAUUACAGGUAGAUUGCUGGGUUAAUUCCUGUUUAUUGCUGGGUUUGUCGACAAGGCAGAUUCCUUUAGGUUUUACAAUGGGCUUAGGUGGGCCUUUGGAGAGCGUGCGUGUGUGUGUGUGUGUGUGUGUGUGUAAUGAUUGAAGGAGGGAUGUUUUUCUGUCCUCCGUCAUUCGAGUCACUCAUUCCCUCGUUCGUGCCAUCCUGUGGUUUAACGGUUUGAUCUGAUGGCCUGGUGACCUGGGCGUCCGGUCACACGAACACAAUAACCUUCUGAUGGGGAUUGACUGGCAGUUCAUCUUUCAUCUGGUUUCACAUCAACAGGGUUAGAGAAGGGGGAAAGGCUCUCUCUCUCUCUCUCUCUCUCUCUCUCUCUCUCUCUCUCUCUCUCUCUCUCUCUCUCUCUCUCUCUCUCUUUGUCUUUCUCUCUCUCUCUCUCUCCCUUUCUCUCUCUCUCUCUCUCUCUCUCUCUCUCUCUCUCUCUCUCUCCGCUCUCUCUCUCUCUCUCUCUCACCAUCUCUCUCUCUGUCUGUCUCUCUCUCUCUCUGUCUCUCUCUCUCUCUCUCUCUCUCUCUCUCUCUCUCUCUCUCUCUCUCUCUCUCUCUCUGUCUCUCUCUCUCUGUCUCUGUUUCUCUCUCUCUCUCCCUCUCUUUCUCUCUCUCUCUCUGUCUUUCUCUCUCUCUCUCUCUCUCUCUCUCUCUCUCUCUCUCUCUCAAAUUCAGAUUGCUUUAUUGGCAUGAAAUACAAGUGGUAGAUAGCCAAACCAGUACAGUGGUACAUUAUUACAGUAAGGACAGUAUAGAGGUACAUUAUUACAGUAAGGACAGUAUAGAGGUACAUUAUUACAGUAAGGACAGUACAGUGGUACAUCAUUACAGUAAGGACAGUACAGUGGUACAUCAUUACAGUAAGGACAGUACAGUAGUAGAUAUAUAAACCAGUAUAGUUGUACAUCAUUACAGUAAGGACAGUAUAGAGGUAUAUCAUUACAGUAAGGACAGUAUAGAGGUACAUAAUUACAGUAAGGACAGUACAGUGGUUCAUCAUUACAGUAAGGACAGUAUAGAGGUACAUCAUUACAGUAAGGACAGUAUAGAGGUACAUUAUUACAGUAAGGACAGUAUAGAGGUACAUCAUUACAGUAAGGACAGUAUAGAGGUACAUUAUUACAGUAAGCACAGUACAGCGGUACAUUAUUACAGUAAGGACAGUACAGUGGUACAUUAUUACAGUAAGGACAGUACAGUGGUACAUUAUUACAGUAAGGACAGUACGGUGGUACAUCAUUACAGUAAGGACAGUACAGAGGUACAUUAUUACAGUAAGGACAGUAUAGCGGUACAUUAUUACAGUAAGGACAGUAUAGCGGUACAUUAUUACAGUAAGGACAGUACAGAGCAGUGAGGGAACAUGGAUGAUGGGUCCAUUAUGUACUUGUCAGUUAUAUACAAUGUAAACACUACAAGGAAUGAAUGGUCAUGGGAUGUGCCUCAGGCUGUGACAAUCAUAUAUCUGGCUGUUAUAUUAACAUGUCUGUCAUUAUGAAUAGAUACAUACAUAUAUAUACAUAUAUAUAUAUAUAUAUAUAUACAUACAGUGUUUUAACGACGGGGCAAUAGUUAAAGUACAUGGUAGAAAAAUGAACAUUAAAUUAUCCAUUGCACCUGUACAUAGCCCAUCUGUAUAAUAGCCCAUCUACCUACCUCAUCCCCAUAUUGUUUUUUAUUUUAUUUAUUUUGCUCCUUUUGCAGCCCAGUACAUCUACUUGCACAUUCAUCUUCUGCACGUCUAUCACUCCAGUGUUUAAUUGCUAUAUUGUAAUUAUUUCGCACCACUACGGCCUAUUUAUUGCCUUACCUCCUUUAUCCUACCUCAUUUGCAUACACUGUAUAUAGACUUUCUCUAUUGUGUUAUUGGCUGUAUGUUUUGUUUAUUAUACUCCAUGUGUAACUCUGUGUUGUUGUUUGUGCCGCACUGCUUUGCUUUUAUCUUGGCCGGGUCGCAGUUGUAAAAUGAGAACUUGUUCUCAACUAGCCUACCUGGUUAAAUAAAGGUGAAAUAAAAAAAUUUAAAAUUCUGGCAACAGCACUGUUGGAUAUUCCUGUAGUCAGCAUGCCAAUUGCACCCUCCUCCCUCAAAACUUGAGACAUCUGUGGCGUUGUGUUGUGUGACAAAACUGCACAUUUUAGAGUGAUCUUUGUUUGUCCCCAGCACAAGGUGCACCUGUGCAAAGUUAAUUAUUUUUAAAUGGACAGUAAACAUUUACACUCACAAAAGUUCCAAAGGAAUAAAGACAUUUCAAAUAUAUUACUGUCUAUAUACAGUGUUGUAACGAUGUGUAAAAAAGUACAAAAGGUAAAAUAAAUAAACAUAAAUAUGGGUUGUAUUUACAAUGGUGUUUGUUCUUCACUGGUUGACCUUUUCUUGUGGCAACAGGUCACAAAUCCUGCUGUUGUGAUGGAACACUGUGGUAUUUCACCCAGUAGAUAUGGGAGUUUAUCAAGAUUGGGUUUGUUUUCGAAUUCUUUGUGGAUCUGUGUAAUCUGCGGGAAAUAUGUGUCUCUAAUAUGGUCAUACAUUUGGCAGGAAGUUAGGCAGUGCAGUUCAGUUUCCACCUCAUUUUGUGGGCAGUGUUGCACAUAGCCUGUCUUCUCUUGAGAGCCCAGGUCUGCCUACGGCGGCCUUUCUCAAUAGCAAGGCUAUGCUCACUGAGUCUGUACAUAGUUAAAGUUUCCUUAAGUUUGGGUCAGUCACAGUGGUCAGAUAUUCUGCUACUGUGUCCUCUCUGUUUGGGGACAAAUAACAUUCUAGUUUUCUCUGUUUUUUUGUUAAUUCUUUCCAAUGUGUCAUGUAAUUAUAUUUUAGUUUUCUCAUGAUUUGGUUGGUGUCUAAUUGUGUU
Molecule: long non-coding RNA, 3602 nt
Filed under: Salmo salar (Atlantic salmon)
Lineage: Eukaryota; Metazoa; Chordata; Actinopteri; Salmoniformes; Salmonidae
Description: lncRNA (ENSSSAG00000082173.1)
Source: RNAcentral